UCUCUUCAUGUGGCCGGCCAUAGCAAGAACAAAGAGAGGAAAAGAAAAACAAGAAACCUAGGUGGGAAAAUUAAAGAAAAAGUAUGGGAUUUCAAGGAAUCAAGCAAUCAAAGGUAAAAUUUCUUGAUUUUGACUUGUGAUCUACCUUUCCCAUGCUUUUCUCCUUAUUUUCCAUGGUUAGAUUUCAUGUUUUCAUGGUGAAUUCAUGGCUGCCCAAAUGGGUAUGGAGAGAGAAUGUUGUUAGAUUGAUUUGAUUUUAAGUUAUGUUAGUGUUUUAAGUUAGUUUAGCAUAUUUAGAAACAAAACAACAAGAAAAGAAUUCAUUUUCCCCCAUUACCAUCAUUGGCUGAAUUUCCUAGGGAGAAUAUUGUGGCUGAAUUUGAUGAUAUUUCAUGAUAUUUUGGUGAUAUUUGAUGUUUGGUGAGGAUAGAAAUUAAAUGGGAAAUUUUGGUACGAAAAUACGAAUUUUUGCUCAACAUAUGGACAUGUGUAAUUAUUGACCCGGGAUCGAUAAAUUGAACCUCAUUCACAGUCACUAAGGUAAUUUAGGUAUAAUUGGAGUGUAGAAAGUGAAAAGAAUCGAUUUGGAGUUAAAUUGAAGAUUUUAGCCGAUUAGACCGAGAAUAGUGGGAAUUAGGUCGAAUAUUGUAUUUAAACGGCUAUUCGGACAUUUCUUUUUGCAUUCCAUAUCAUGCAUUAGUAGCCUAAAUUAGUUUAAUUUCAAUUUAGUAUCAAUGUGGUGAAUUUCUCAAUUUUGUAUUGUGUCAAGGUGGUGAGUUCUCCGAUAAAGGCAAGGAAAUUGCAUCCGAGGACUAGUAGACAGAGUACUUCGAAAGUCUGCAUUCUAGACAUUGUGAGUAAACUUACUGUCAUUUUAAUUAUCUAGGGUGGUUUUUAUAUGAUAUCAUGAAUUCUAUGGAAAAAUGGAUUUUUAAAAGGUAAAUUUUCAUGUUUUAUGAAUAAAAGUUUUCUAAUGAAAUUAAUUUAUAAAUUGUUUUGAAAUUAAUAAUGAUUUUGAAAAAUAGAGUACACGGAGACUGUUAAUUGUGGCAAUUUGAUUGUUUAAAUUGAUGGCUUAUGUUAUAUUGGUAUUGUGUUGGCAUGAUUGGCUGUGUUGUGUUUUAUGAAUUAUAUGAAUUGUUUUAUUUUACCCUUGCAGGCUGGGUAGUAUUUCAUUAGCCCUGUCAUACCGUCAAAAUUUUAUUAUAUGGUGGAUUAUAUAUUAAUUAAUCAUUGCAGUAGGGAGUUUCUGUGGACUAGCUUUUUAGAGGGGCAUAGUAAACCCUAUUAUAUUCUUACCUCGAACGGAGAGGCGUGUAGGGUAUCUCUUGAGGUAAAGCUUAGGGUUCACUUCACUCCAAACUACCAUGUGAGGGGAAACUCAGCCAACUCCAAGGAACGACUAUGUUUUCAAAACAAAAACAUGAUUUAUGUGAAAUGUGAAUUUUUAAUAGCCUUGGUGGUCUUGGUAGGAUGCCUCGGCCAAGGUGUCUCCGAGAAUGGAUUUAUGGCACAAACCUAGUUUUUAUGAGAUUCAUAAGCCUCUUCACGUAUUUUAAAUGAAAUGUAUUCUAAUGCUGUGAGCCAAUUUACGAUGAUUUACUUUAUUGUUUUCAUGUACUCAACUAUAGAUGUUUAUGAUGAUGUCUGUUUACUCACUGGGAUUUUAUAAUCUCACCACCCUCAUUUCCAUCCAUUUCAGGUUCAAUAGACUGUAGAUAGCUGAUCUCAUCGAGGACUAUCAUUGGAUCUGUAUUUUUCAAAUUGUAGGUUCACAAUCCUCUUUACUUUUGUUUAUUCGGGGGCCCUCUUGUUAUUGCAAAUUAAAUUAAAUAUUUUGGCUUAUUGUAUUUCAGUAUGUAUAAAUUUAUUUAGCUUUUACACUACAAAAAAUUAUUUACGUAUGACUCGAAAAAUAUUAUUUUAAGUUGGAAAUGAGAAGUUAAUAUUAAAGCCUUGCGGGGUCCCGGUUGACAUUCCGGAUAAUGAGUGUCAAUCGGGAUACCGCGAUGGUUGUCACGGGCUCGAGGGGAGUACCAGGUUGUGACAAAGGGUAUCAAAAUUAGUUUGUUUGUGUAUUCCUAAAGAAACAACCAAAGGAAAAAAACGCAUUAAGACCUCAAUGGACGGUAUCAACACUCCACUCAAGAAGAGUUAGAUUUCCAAAAAAUAAAAAUUAAAGUAUCAAGAGCAAGAGCAUCAAAUAUUGAGACAACUUCUUAG
This 2223-nucleotide long non-coding RNA is filed under the name Theobroma cacao (cacao). RNAcentral's name for it is "long non-coding RNA (TCAC_LNC003690)". Lineage: Eukaryota; Viridiplantae; Streptophyta; Magnoliopsida; Malvales; Malvaceae. The record is from RNAcentral.